RNAcentral lists this ribosomal RNA (585 nucleotides) under uncultured bacterium. Its description in RNAcentral is "partial 16S ribosomal RNA". It matches the Rfam family "Bacterial small subunit ribosomal RNA", at positions 355 to 1375 of the family's 1533-position model. The record is from RNAcentral.
UGGGGAAUUUUGGACAAUGGGCGAAAGCCUGAUCCAGCAAUGCCGCGUGUGUGAAGAAGGCCUUCGGGUUGUAAAGCACUUUUGUCCGGAAAGAAAUCCUUGGCUCUAAUACAGCCGGGGGAUGACGGUACCGGAAGAAUAAGCACCGGCUAACUACGUGCCAGCAGCCGCGGUAAUACGUAGGGUGCAAGCGUUAAUCGGAAUUACUGGGCGUAAAGCGUGCGCAGGCGGUUUGCUAAGACCGAUGUGAAAUCCCCGGGCUCAACCUGGGAACUGCAUUGGUGACUGGCAGGCUAGAGUAUGGCAGAGGGGGGUAGAAUUCCACGUGUAGCAGUGAAAUGCGUAGAGAUGUGGAGGAAUACCGAUGGCGAAGGCAGCCCCCUGGGCCAAUACUGACGCUCAUGCACGAAAGCGUGGGGAGCAGACAGGAUUAGAUACCCUGGUAGUCCACGCCCUAAACGAUGUCAACUAGUUGUUGGGGAUUCAUUUCCUUAGUAACGUAGCUAACGCGUGAAGUUGACCGCCUGGGGAGUACGGUCGCAAGAUUAAAACUCAAAUGAAUUGACGGGGUCAUAGCUGUUUCCU